This 506-nucleotide ribosomal RNA is filed under the name uncultured bacterium. Its description in RNAcentral is "partial 16S ribosomal RNA". It matches the Rfam family "Bacterial small subunit ribosomal RNA", at positions 28 to 523 of the family's 1533-position model. The record is from RNAcentral.
GAUGAACGCUAGCUACAGGCUUAACACAUGCAAGUCGAGGGGUAACGAGAGGAAAGCUUGCUUUCCUUGUCGACGACCGGCGCACGGGUGAGUAACGCGUAUCCAACCUGCCCCCAACUAAGGAAUAACCUUGCGAAAGUAAGACUAAUACCUUAUAAUUUCCUCAGAUGACAUCUGACGAGGAAUAAAGAUUUAUCGGUUGUGGAUGGGGAUGCGUCUGAUUAGCUUGUUGGCGGGGUAACGGCCCGCCAAGGCAACGAUCAGUAGGGGUUCUGAGAGGAAGGUCCCCCACAUUGGAACUGAGACACGGUCCAAACUCCUACGGUAGGCAGCAGUGAGGAAUAUUGGUCAAUGGGCGGAAGCCUGAACCAGCCAAGUAGCGUGCAGGAUGACGGCCCUAUGGGUUGUAAACUGCUUUUAUACAGGAAUAAAGUUAGCCACGUGUGGUUAUUUGUAGGUACUGUAUGAAUAAGGACCGGCUAAUUCCGUGCCAGCCGCCGCGGUAA